GAAGAGGAGGAAGAAGUAACAGAGGUAACUCUGGAAGAGGAAUCCAAAGAGGCCGUGGACAAGGGAAACAGAUGAGGGGUAGAGGAGGAAGGGAUGGAAGGGGAGGAAGGGGAGGUUUUAGAGGAAGAGGAGACAACAGAGAGGAACUGUCACAGAUUCGUAACCGUCCUCAACCACUGAUAGAUCUCCCAAUCCCUCCCCCAUUGCAACAUUCAAACCCAUAUCCAGAUGUAAACAGUCAGACCGCCCAGCCAAUGAUGGGACAGGCUCCCUUAACCCGACCACCAGCAGGGCCAUAUCAACAGUAUCUUCAACCUCCUGGACAAUGGGCCCAACCACAACCAGGCCCCUUUUACCAACAGGAUCAUGCGUCUCAAUACCCACAGCAACUUGGUAGGGAGGGACCUUUUCCUCAAACUAGACCAGGCCCCUCUUACCAACAGGAUCAUGAGUCUCAAUACCCACAGCAACUUGGUAGGGAGGGGCCUUUACCCAAAACUAGACCAAAGAAACAGACAAAUAAAGACCAGAAAGCACCCGUUGAAAAAAAUACCGAUGAAAUUUGUAUGCAUAAAUUUCGAAAGUGCCAACAGGGUGACAAAUGCGGAAAACACCAUCGACCAAUGAUCUACCAAUGGCAGCAUACAGAGACUGAUGUACAAGGACAGCAGUCAUGGAAAGACUUUGAUAAUGCCACCAACACUGAACUGGAGAAGACGUACUCUGACCCGGGAGAAGAAUGUUGUCCUGUUGCCUACAGGAAAGGAGAUCUUGUCCGUGUCAGUUUUGAGGAAAUGACAGGCUUGAGCAAGAAGACCAAGAUCUCAGUGCGGCGACUGUCUACUCCGUCAUCCAGUUCUCCCAGGAUGCAACCUUCACUGUAUAAGUGGGCAACUCAAUGGCGAUGGUACUGGGAAGACGAUUCUGGAACUUGGAUGGAAUAUGGCAAAACGGGCACCGGCGGAUAUACCACCGAGACCAACAGUGACAGUAUAGAGAGUGCAUACCAACAAGACACAAAUGGAUCCCUCGACUAUGGAACGACUGGGUUCAGAUAUAAGCUGAUGUUUGAUCAAAUGAUGCAGACAAAUAUGUCCACUUCUAAAGGACGACGCGUCAGAAGACGGCCUCAGUUCGUCACCAAGGAAGAGCUUGGAAAGAGGCCAAAUUUUGACCCCCGCAGGAAGAAGCAGUUAUGUCCACGAGGGUGGAGCAUUGGUCAAACAAAUGAGGAGAAGUUGUUCAAGCAUUACAGCAAAAUGAUGAUCAGCAACACUACUGAUGAGUUCCAGAAGAUAGCGAACCUGUUCCUUGAAACUCUGCCAAACAAGACGAUAGUCUCACUGGAGCGCAUAGAAAAUGGAGAACUUUGGAUGAAUUUUGAUGGACGGAGAGAAAAGAUGGAGAGGCGAACUGGAAAGCCUGCAGCAGAACGACAACUGUUCCAUGGAACAACGGAGGAAACGGUAGAAGCCAUAUCAAAGGAAGGGUUUGAUUUUCGUUUUAGCGCCACGAGGGUAGGUGCUAUACACGGCGCAGGCAGCUACUUUGCAAGAGAAGCAAAAUAUUCGGAUUCCUAUGCAGAGCAAUCUGCGGGUGUAAAGAGAAUGUUCGUGGCACAAGUACUGGUGGGGGAGUUUACACAGGGGAGCCGAGAUCUCCGGCGACCGCCCCCCAAGAGUCCUGAUAAUCGACAUGACUUGUUCGACUCCUGUGUGGAUGAUGUGAAUGAUCCAAAAAUAUUCGUCAUCUUCACAUUAGAUCAGGUCUACCCACAGUACAUCAUCACAUAUAACUGAUUGUGAAGCCCAUUUCUGGUGUCCCCCGCCGUGAUAUAGCUGGAAUAUUACUAAACGCGGCGUAAAACUAAACUCACUCACACUUACUAUUUUUUUAUAUAUUCUAUUGUACUUAUUUUUAUAUAUUCUAUUGUACUUGCUUUUAUAUAUUCUAUUGAACUUAUUUUUAUAUAUUCUAUUGUACGUAUUUUAAGCACAUAUUGUCUAAUGUGUGCGUGUGUGCUUACAAAGUCCUAUAUAUAUUUACAUAUGUCAUGUUAUACCUUCUUUUGUAUAUGUAGUUUUGUGCUUGGUUUCAUACACUUACUUAGAUUCUUAUGUGUAUUUCUGUUCCGAAAUGUUUUAAUGGCUUUCAGUAUAUUAAUUCCUUAUAUAUGAGAUACACCUUGCAGGUAUAACUAGAAUUCCUAUCCCAUAAUUAGCAGGUGAGACACACCUUUGCAGGUUUAUAAUGCCGAAUAUUUAUCGCAUGGAAGACAAAUCUUGCAUGUGCAUACUGAAGAUUACAUUUCCCCACACCAUCUUUUUUAUGCUUUUCACCCCCAGGUAUUUGGAUUUACUUACGCAUACUUAUAUAUAUUCACUGUCUAAUGUGUACUUACAUGUACAUGUAUAUGUAAAGUCUUCUAGUUAGCCUACUUAUGCUUGUCUUCUUUCGUAUGUGUUGUUGUGUACUUUGUUACAUGUACUUGCCUACUUUCUGAUGUGUAUGUGUUCAUACGUAUACAUACUUUCGUAUUUGAUCACUUCACCGUCCUUUUUAUAUACUCUCCCAAAAUAGAAACGCAUUUGCCACAACAGCUAUUGAAGGCAACGCCCAAAUGGGAAGGGAGUUUUUAUAAGCUAUACAUGUUGAUAAGGCUUUCUAUCUUUUAUACUCAGAAAUGUGGCUGCGACGUUACAUGUAUUAUCUCACUUUAAAGUUAGCAGAUUAAUUUCGUGAAAAUAAAAUAAUGCGUUUCUUUUUUGGGAGAGUAUAUGUUCCAUUGGGCACUCUUUAUAAUGGCAACUGCUUGUUCUCAAAGUCAUGUAUAUUAGACACACCUUGCAACUGAAUGUAGCAGGAUCCCUACCCCAGUCCCUACUUAUGACAGAUACCUUGCAGGUGUAUAAUGUAGAACAUUAUCCCAGGAAAGUACGUGAUCUAGACUACCGUUGUCAUUUCGUGGAAGCCGCGUAGGCUGAGUGCGUUAGAUCACUGACGUUGUGUGCUGGGGACUAGAUGUCUCACUUCGAGUAUGGUUUCAAGGUCCGGAUGGGACUCAACCCCAAAAAGAACAUGAAUCUCUACUUUACUGAGAAAGUGUAAUCCCAAAUAUAACAUAUGUAGUAUAUCCCCAACACUUGCAUAUGAAACACACCUUGCAGGUGUAUAUGCAGAAUACGUAUACGUCUACCUUCAUAUGAGACACACCUUGCAGGUGUAUAUGCAUAAUAUAUGUCCGUCUCCUUGCAUAUGAGACACACCUCGCAGGUGUAUAUGCAGAAUACGUAUUCCCCUCACUGCAUAUAAGAUACACCUUGCAAGUGUAUAUGCAGAAUACGCACCCCUCUCCCUUCAUAUGAGACACACCUUGUAGGUGUAUAUGCAUAAUAUAUGCCCCCCUCUUGCAUAUGAGACACGCCUUGCAGGUGUAUAUGCAUGAUACGUAUCCCCCUUCCUGCACAUGACAGUUGCAAGUGUAUAAUGUACAAUACUCACCAACUGUAUAUGCAGAAUACGUACCCCUCUUCCUUCAUAUGAGACACACCUUGCAGGUGUAUAUGCAUAAUACGUAACCCCCUCCCUGCAUAUAAGACACAUAUAUGUUUAAUACGUACCCUUCUAACUUCAUAUGAGGCGCACCUUGCGGGUGUAUAUGCAUAAUAUAUAUCCUUUUCCUUGGAUAUCAGCAGAAUGCAUAAAGUAAACUUCAUUACAUAAAUGUGUAUCCCUCUCCCUUCAUAUGGGACACACCUUGCAGGUGUAUAUGCAUAAUACGUACCCCUCUCCCUUCAUAUGGGACACACCUUGCAGGUGUAUAUGCAGAAUACGUACCCCUCUCCCUUCAUAUGGGACACACCUUGCAGGUGUAUAUGCAGAAUACGUACCCCUCUCCCUUCAUAUGGGACACAUCUUGCAGGUGUUAAACAUAGUCUACUUCGUAGAAAUCCUACCCUGCGUGGUAGUAUAGCAAACUAGUUUACAUUUAGUUCUAAAGUACACCGCCAUUUGCCGCCACGUAGACUGAACUCUGUCCUUUAAGUUACGCUUGACAUAACAUCAUUGUAUAUUCUCCGAUACUGUAGCGCUUACUAGCUUCUCAAUACAUCUUCUUUGCUGUUGUCGUACCUUAAGACUAAAUAUACUGCUCAAAAGAACUGAGGGGCAACUCGAUUGUUUCAUAGUGCUAUUGUUAAUCUGUCAUGACAGAAUAGACUGGACCUUAAUUAGACUGACAGAAUGAUAACAGUAAAAUUAGUCGGGUCAUCCUCGAGUUCGUUUGAGCACGAUAUAUGUUCACCUUUGUUUUGAAUAAUCUACUGUCUGCAACAUGUUAUAAGUUUUAUCAAUAUUUGAAAUUGUCUACCCGGUUGGUUGGAGAGAGAAACGCUUUUCGGACUCUUGUGUAAUGAAUACCGAUACCAACCAAAUGAAGGAUUCUGAAAUGUCUGUAUGGAAGCAAAAAUAAGUUUGUAUUGUUGUAGCAUUAAAAUUAGAAUAAAGGUUGUCAGCAGCUUUCCCUUUCAAGUGUU
Molecule: unclassified non-coding RNA, 4535 nt
Filed under: Haliotis rubra (blacklip abalone)
Lineage: Eukaryota; Metazoa; Mollusca; Gastropoda; Lepetellida; Haliotidae
Description: protein mono-ADP-ribosyltransferase PARP12-like, transcript variant X3
Source: RNAcentral